CAGGGGGAUUUGGCAUUUAGUAGCGGCGAGUGAAGCGGCAAAAGCUCAAAUUUGAAAUCUGGCUCUUUCAGAGUCCGAGUUGUAAUUUGAAGAAGGUAUCUUUGGGUCUGGCUCUUGUCUAUGUUUCUUGGAACAGAACGUCACAGAGGGUGAGAAUCCCGUGCGAUGAGAUGAUCCAGGCCUAUGUAAAGUUCCUUCGAAGAGUCGAGUUGUUUGGGAAUGCAGCUCUAAGUGGGUGGUAAAUUCCAUCUAAAGCUAAAUAUUGGCGAGAGACCGAUAGCGAACAAGUACAGUGAUGGAAAGAUGAAAAGAACUUUGAAAAGAGAGUGAAAAAGUACGUGAAAUUGUUGAAAGGGAAGGGCUUGAGAUCAGACUUGGUAUUUUGUAUGUUACUUCUUCGGGGGUGGCCUCUACAGUUUAUCGGGCCAGCAUCAGUUUGGGCGGUAGGAGAAUUGCGUUGGAAUGUGGCACGGCUUCGGUUGUGUGUUAUAGCCUUCGUCGAUACUGCCAGCCUAGACUGAGGACUGCGGUUUAUACCUAGGAUGUUGGCAUAAUGAUCUUAAGUCGCCCGUCUUGAACCACGGACCA
Molecule: ribosomal RNA, 588 nt
Filed under: Candida tropicalis
Lineage: Eukaryota; Fungi; Ascomycota; Pichiomycetes; Serinales; Debaryomycetaceae
Description: eukaryotic LSU rRNA
Rfam family: Eukaryotic large subunit ribosomal RNA
Source: RNAcentral